UACGGGGGGGGCAAGCGUUGUCCGGAAUUACUGGGCGUAAAGAGCUCGUAGGUGGUUUGUCGCGUUGUUCGUGAAAACUCACAGCUCAACUGUGGGCGUGCGGGCGAUACGGGCAGACUGGAGUACUGCAGGGGAGACUGGAAUUCCUGGUGUAGCGGUGAAAUGCGUUGAUAUCAUGGGGAACACCAAAAGCGAAGGCAAGUGACUGGACCGCUACUGACGCUGAAACACGAAAGCGUGGGUCGCGAAUGGG
This 253-nucleotide ribosomal RNA is filed under the name uncultured bacterium. RNAcentral's name for it is "partial 16S ribosomal RNA". It matches the Rfam family "Bacterial small subunit ribosomal RNA", at positions 524 to 776 of the family's 1533-position model. The record is from RNAcentral.